GAAUUUAGCAGAGAUGCUUUAGUGCCUUCGGGAACCGUGAGACAGGUGCUGCAUGGCUGUCGUCAGCUCGUGUUGUGAAAUGUUGGGUUAAGUCCCCGCAACGAGCGCAACCCUUAUCCUUUGUUGCCAGCACGUAAUGUUGGGAACUCAAAGGAGACUGCCGGUGAUAAACCGGAGGAAGGUGGGGAUGACGUCAAGUCAUCAUGGCCCUUACGAGUAGGGCUACACACGUGCUACAAUGGCAUAUACAAAGAGAAGCGAACUCGCGAGAGCAAGCGGACCUCAUAAAGUAUGUCGUAGUCCGGAUUGGAGUCUGCAACUCGACUCCAUGAAGUCGGAAUCGCUAGAAUCGAGAUCAGAAUGUACGGGAACGCCCGC
This 378-nucleotide ribosomal RNA is filed under the name Rahnella sp. 645. RNAcentral's name for it is "bacterial SSU rRNA". It matches the Rfam family "Bacterial small subunit ribosomal RNA", at positions 993 to 1366 of the family's 1533-position model. Lineage: Bacteria; Pseudomonadati; Pseudomonadota; Gammaproteobacteria; Enterobacterales; Yersiniaceae. The record is from RNAcentral.